CUAGCCGUAGCGCACGGGAAUGCCGAGUACUUGCUGUGUACGCGAGUGCCAAUAACUCGGGUUGUGCUGCCCGGCGGCUCCG
RNAcentral lists this transfer RNA (82 nucleotides) under Rhodococcus coprophilus. RNAcentral's name for it is "tRNA-Ser(gct)". The record is from RNAcentral. Lineage: Bacteria; Bacillati; Actinomycetota; Actinomycetes; Mycobacteriales; Nocardiaceae.